AUGAAUCUGUAGAAUCUUUGAUUCUACAGUAUUAUUUUUCUGAUGAAGUAUGUUAAUGUCACAAGUCAAAAUUAAACUGCUUUUGUCUCAAGGUUCUGAUAGUUGAGUGGUUUCUUAGCUUGAAAAUGCCCAGGAAUUCAGCAAGAGUUUUGAGGGUUCAUGUUCAGCUUCUUGGUGUCUUUGGUAUUCUGCCUGACUGGUUUUUCCCAUAGUAAAGUGAGGUGUACCUUCCCUGCCUGCCUCUGCCCUCCUGUCACCUUCUGCACCCAGCCCUGCGUUUCAGCAGGUGUGGUGCCUCCCUUACUCCCUGUGGGUGGGGCUCUGCGAGGGUGCUGGGGAAGACAUGUCAGCUGACACUGGCUCACAUGAGGGCCACUGGGAAGGUGGCGUGGCCAGUGUCAGAGCAGCACGUUUGCCUAGGCCACGGGAGUGGGUCUCGUGACCAGCUAAUGGCCGCUCUGGGUGCCAGCUGGGGACGCAGGUGGGGUGAGUCACAAGCUGCUCCGCCUGCUGAGUAUCUCGUCUUUUCUGAACUGGAGUCCAGGCUCAGGAACAGGAGUGGGAAGCAGGAUUUGUGCUUGUCUGUAUUUGUCAUGGGCUUGCCCACAGCAUGUUUUAUAAGGCGACUGGGUGCGUCUGACUCCUCCAGAGCUUCAUUUAUGUAACAAAUGAAUGUUCCUUUUUUUAAACCUUCUAAAAGAGGAAAUUACGAGGCUUUUGCCAAGUAGCUUGUUUCAUAUACUGCAUAGGAAAUGGAAUGAUCUCUUGGAGCUGCUGGUCACUGCAGAAUAACCCUCAAAUAACAAAGGAACUUCAAAAUUUGUGCCCAGUCCAAGUUGAUGGUAAAGAUAAACCGGAAGAACAUUAAUCGCCCAGGACAUGUGUGGCGGCACAGCGAAAACCUCAAACCAGCCUGGGGGCUGGCAGGAUUCGGCCAGAUAUGUGAGGGACGCUGUCUCUGCUGCUGGGAGGAUUUACAAGACGCUUUUGUGCACAAAGAUUCAAAGAUGUGCCUGGGUAGGCAGGGACACCAGUCACACCGGACUGGACAACAGUUGGUCAUGUUCGGAGAUUGACCUGAAUGAGAUUCGCCUCAUAGUUUACCAGGACUGCGAGAGGAGGGGCAGACAAGUGUUGUUUGAUUCUAAAGCUGUUCAGAAGAUUGAAGAGGUAGCUGCGCAGAAAACAGAGGAUGUGCCCAGCAGAGGGGCAGCCAGGAGCUGUCCAGGAAGCAGCAGCGGGGGUGGCAGCAUCUCCACCAGAAGUUCCGGGGGAUCUUCACACCACGGGAAGGAACAGCUGCCAAAGUACCAGUACACAAGGCCAGCCUCGGACGUCAGCAUGCUCGGGGAAAUGAUGUUCGGCUCAGUUGCCAUGAGUUACAAAGGCUCCACCUUGAAGAUACACUAUAUCCGCUCUCCUCCACAGCUGAUGAUUAGUAAAGUCUUCUCUGCUAGAAUGGGCAGCUUCUGUGGAAGCACAAAUAACUUGCAGGACAGCUUUGAGUACAUCAACCAAGAGCCUCACGUGGGAAAACCAAACACAAAUCACAAUGCUUUGGGUGCUUGUGCUGGAAGUAACCUAGGUCUGCUGCAGGCGUGCAGCAGCAAACUGCUGCUGGGGGUGGCUGAAGGAGGACCUCUCCGGCUCACCCGGAGCGCUUCUUUCUUCGCAGCUCACAGCACUCCUGUUGACAUGCCAAGCCGAGGGCAGAACGAAGACAGGGACAGUGGCAUUGCUCGAUCAGCCUCCCUCAGCAGCCUUUUGAUCACACCCUUCCCAUCUCCAAGCGCCUCCACGUCCUCCUCCAGCAGCUACCAGCGCCGCUGGCUCCGGAGCCAGACCACGAGCUUGGAAAACGGCUUCGUUCCGCGGAGGUCAACAGAUGAGACAUUCAGCUUGGCUGAAGAGGCCUGCAGUUCUAAUCCAGUCAUGGUUAGGAGGAAGAAAAUCGCCAUAAGCAUCAUCUUUUCCCUCUGCGAGAAAGAUGAAGCACAGCGGAAUUUCCAGGACUUCUUUUUUUCUCAUUUUCCCCUGUUUGAAUCUCACAUGAACAGGCUGAAGGGUGCAAUUGAAAAGGCCAUGAUCUCCUGUAGGAAGAUCGCAGAAUCAGGUCUCCGUGUCCAGUUCUAUGUCAGCCGCUUAAUGGAAGCCCUGGGAGAAUUCAGAGGGACCAUCUGGAAUUUAUACUCUGUCCCAAGGAUAGUGGAACCAGUGUGGCUCACCAUGAUGUCAAGCACUUUGGAAAAAACCCAGGUCUGCCAGCGCUUCCUCAAAGAGUUUACUCUUCUAAUAGAGCACAUCAACAAAAACCAGUUUUUCGCUGCUUUGCUGACUGCAGUGCUGACCUACCACCUGGCCUGGGUGCCGACCGUCAUGCCCGUCGACCACCCCCCGGCGAGAGGCUUCUCCGAGAAGCGAGCUUCGCAGUCAGUGAGCAUGCUGGCCAAGACACACCCAUACAACCCUCUCUGGGCACAGCUGGGCGACCUCUAUGGAGCUAUAGGCUCUCCAGUGAGACUGACUCGCACUGUGGUGGUGGGAAAGCAGAAGGAUUUGGUCCAGCGUAUUCUUUAUGUGCUGACCUACUUCCUCCGCUGCUCUGAGCUACAAGAGAACCAGCUGACCUGGACCGGGAAGCACAGAGAAGGAGACCAGGUCAUCAACGGCAGCAAGCUCGUUACUGCCUUGGAGAAGGGUGAGGUGGAGGAGUCCGAGUACGUGGUAGUCUCAGUGAGAAAUGACCCUGCUCUUGUACCCCCUGUCCUACCAUCGAUGAUGGCAAAGAGAAGAGGUCCUGGUCCCCCCAGGUCAGCAUCGACCCCAGAUGGCAUUGACAUGAGAUACCUGGCUCCUACACCUGACAGAGAAGGGAGCAGGAGGUCACAGCAGUGCACUGAGGCUUGCAGCACAGGAUUCCCAGGGCCAGCACCAGACAGUGCCUGGACCCCACACGGCGCAUUUCAUGGGGGUAGAGACAGCGAAGAAGCAGUACCCCCAGCUGGCUUCUCAGGACCUCCGUGCUGUGAGGUUCCAGGGGCAGGAAAGAAAAUUGACCCCCAGACUGUGCAGGAGGAGAUGAAGGAAGAGAUGCCUAAGAAACUACGGGAGCCGUCUGCAGCCCAGCCAUGCCCUGAUAGGCAUUCCCGGGAGGAGCCUCCUGCAGAAAAGGUUACUUUCCACAUUGGCGGCUCUGUCUCUCCAGAGUCUGACUUCGAGAGCCGCACCAAAAGCAUGGAUGAGAGGCUUCGGGGCUGCGCACAGCGUUUGGCAGCAGCUGGCACUUCGGAGGCCAGCGCAGCCACCAGUGAGGCCUGGGACGGGCGGGCCUCAGGGUGCAUCUCCAGAGCUGACUUUCAGAGGGGCACCUGCUCUCCUUGCUCUGCUUGGGAGAACAGUGAGCCUAGCAGGGGCUGUGCUGAGGACAGAGGUGCCUCUGGGCAGCUCCUGCAAGCCAGUAGCCGUUUGGCACCUCCCUGCCUUGCUACGGGAGUGAGAGUGAAAAGGCUGGAGAAAACUCAGGCUCUGCACCAGAGAGGCGCCAGAGGGCCUGUGCAGUUACCUGCCCUGGAUAGCUAUGUUCCACAGGACACUGAUAUCCCCCACGGGGAUGCCAACCGGGAGGCCAGCUUCAGGGUUGAAGGAGAUCUUCCUAGAAACGAAAGCUCUGACAGUGCUCUUGGAGACAGUGGCGACGAGGCAUCUGCAUUUGCCAUGCUGGGUCCAGGUCCUGGCAGCCACGGGACAGAAGGAUCCUUGGAAGUGGAGCUGCCUCUGCCAAGGUCUGAGAGCAUCAGCAACCCACACAUCAGAAACUUCGGCCGCUCGCUUCUGGCGGGUUACUGCCCCGCAUACAUGCCCGACCUGGUGCUUCACGGAACCAGCAGCGACGAGAAGCUGAGGCAGUGCCUGCUGGCUGACCUCAUCCACACAGUGCAUCAUCCGGUGCUUGAUGAGCCAAUAGCUGAAGCUGUCUGUAUUGUGGCAGACACGGACAAGUGGAGCGUCCAGGUGGCCACAAGUCAGCGGAAAGUGACGGAUGGUGUGAGGCUGGGCCAGGAUGUCCUGGUCUCCAGCCAGGUGUCCAGUCUACUUCAGUCCAUUUUACAGCUGUAUAAGCUUCACCUGCCUGCUGAUUUUUGCAUCAUGCAUCUGGAGGACAGACUGCAGGAGCUGUACCUGAAGAGCAAGAUGCUGUCCGAGUACCUCCGGGGACACACCCGCGUGCAUGUGAAGGAGCUGGGGCUUGUGCUGGGGAGGAGUCACAGCUCCUGUCCCGCUGUCCUGCUCCCUGCAACUGGGCACUGUGCAGUCCCUAAGACAAGGCUCCUGCUCCCCCAAGUCUGCCUUGAGAAGGGUGCUGCCUUGAGCUGUGCAGGGGAAAGCCCGUGUUGUAUGGCCGAGUCACUGAUGCAACGGAGAAGCAGGAGAGACGUGGUCUCUGGGACCUCCGGCUGACACCUGCAGUCGAGCCCCUAGCUCAGGCUGUGAAGGGAGGGCUGCUCAUCUGCAGGGGCUGCCUUCUGCUCCCUGCCAAGCCUGCGCUGGUGUUCGUGUGCCGGCCCUUUGUAUCCCAGGCAUGGCAUCUUUCCCACCCAGGAUACUGCUGACUUGUUUGGCUCUUAGUAUUUCCUAGCAUACGUAUUUUUCUUGUGUACUUCAUUUUAGAAAAUAUUUUUCCUUUUUUGAUGCCUUAGUUAUUUUCCCCUUUUGGUUUUUGUCUUUCUUUACCUGCCCCAUAACCCUACCCCUAGAGGCUUCUCAUUGCUGGCUGUGGUCCCCGCAGCCCAGGUCCAGCGAGAGGGAGGGAAGGAGGAAGGGACCAGCCCAGCCUCUCAUGUGCUGAUGGCUUGGAGUGCAGUGCUGGGGCUUGUCGCAUCUGCUGAGCUGGACCUGCUGGGGCACCACUGGAGAGGAGCAGAAAGCUCCCCAGGCAACGCCAGCUCCCACUCUACGUGUGAAUUUUUGGGACUCAAAGUGCACAGACUGAACCACAGUGGUGCAGGUGUCCUCCAGCAUCCAGCAGCAGCAGACAGACCUGUGCCCUGUGCUCCCCUGAGUUGCCCUGCAUAGGGAUCUCCGUGCUGCUGUUCUGCUCUCGGAGGCCAUGGCUCUGCCACAUGAGGAGCAUGAAUGUUUGAGCCCCGGCUUGCUGCCACCAGCAUCCCCUGGAGUGGGUGAAGAGUCAGCCCAGCCCCAGGACUGCUGGCAAAAAGGGAUUGAGUCUAAUGAUCUGCCUCUGCUGACUGCUGUGGCCAGCACACACUCCCCUCAUGUGGCUCAGAUACUCUUAUAAGCUAACGCUCAGGACAGCUCUUCCCUGGAAGAAGAAAAACAAAUCUCCCUGAAAGACAAAAGCAUAAGCUCUCCAGGACAUCAGAAGCUCGAGAAGAGCACGCAGAAAGUCAUCCCACCCUUGGUCUCUCGCUGUGCUUUCCAGAGGAUGUUUAGGGAGGACUUGUGCCAUCUCCACCCAAUGGCAUCUGUGACUUCCAGGAACUCUCCCUGCCUUUCAUUUCCCAGGAGUCUGCAAAGUGGACCAGCUGGUGGAGGGGACACAGCACCACAGCACCCUUGAAGCCUUGGGCAUCAGCCGACCCACUACUCAGGCAGGAGGGUGAGGGGCGGGGCAGAUGCUGUGACAUUCCAGCAGCAGGUGACUCCGAGCCCAGGCACGUGAGUGCUGCUCCACAGAGACAGACAGAUGGGACUCAGGUUCCAGGUCUCCAGGGCGGGGAGACAGAGCCACCAGCAGCUAUGCUUGGCUCUGGCCGCCUUAGCUGCUGCUGGAUGAGAGGGAAAGGAAGCUUCCUAGGGGGAAAAGAGGGUGCUCGGUGGCCCUCAGAGUUUGCUUUGAUUCAGAUGCAGCUCUGGGGGUUCAGAGGUGGGUUGUGGGUGCAACAGACCUGAGGAGCCGUGUAGUAGCCUGCGCCCCACAGGGGUGGAUACAGCUGUGUGUACCUGAGAUAGGGUACAUGGCCUUUUCAAGAGAGGCGUCUUACGCUCCAGCGUCUGCAGUGACUUCCUCCUGCCUGGCACCUCCUGCUCCAGGGGCGCAGGUGACUGCUUCAGCUUUAGAGGCCCCGCUGUCUGCAGCAGUUCCAGGACUCGAGGACCGCAGUCAGAACAAUCCAUGUCCAAUCUGAAGUUUUACAUUGCGACCUCUGCACCUUUUAAUUCCUAUGUCCUGUUCCAGACAUCUUCCUGGAAGUUCCCUUGACCAUCAUAGCUUACAAAGUAAAGAAUCACUAGUCCAAUUCACUUAAAAACAAAGCCUCAGUUUUCUGUUACUGUAGAAGAGACUUGGCUUGCUGACCAUGACCACAGACCAUGUCCACUUGUCUAGCAGACCAGACCUCAGACAUGGACUAGAAGGCGGUGGCUGAUCUGGUGGAGCCAGCACUGUUCACCUGGCUGGCUUCUCCCCCGUGCUGCCUCCCGGGGACAGGAGGAUGCCUCCUCCAUGGAGCUGGGGAGACUUCUGGCCUGACGCAUGAUAGAACUGUGAUCCUGACCAUUGGUGACCUAAACAAGGGACGGGUGUAGCCCCUCCUAGGGCAGGCCGGAGCUGCAGCCCUUCCGCCCAUGCUGAGAAAGGUAGUAGGUGCAUCAAGGUCCUGAGAUUUUUAACUUAUUUGAUGCUUUUCACAAAAUCAAAGUUUCCCUUCUUUUUCCUAUUUGCUGUCAUCAGGAGAAGCAUGCCCUCCUGGUUCCCUUACCCAGUUUGCUUUUCCUUCUGUAAACUGGCAUUCCAGCCCUGCUGCCACCCACCGUCCCAGCCCUGCCACCGCUGUCACAUCAGCCUACAGCAGACCCUCAUCACCAGCUCCCUGUCCCUGCCCUGCCCCACUUGGGGGCACCUGCCUCACUCACCACUGUGCCCUGCUGUACACUAGGGAGCAAGGAAGACUGAGCCCCUCCCCACCUACCCCAGGACCUUUGCCUCCCCAUCCUGUACCCCCAAGUCCCUCCUCCCCAGAGAGAGGCCUGCUGGGACCUGCGGGGGUGGGGUUGCAGGUAGGUCGGAUUCCAGUCCAGCCACCAUCAUAUCUGUUGCCCCUAAAAACAGCUGAGAAGGUUGUGCCCAGUGACCCGCCUCUGAACAGCUACCAUUCAUGUUUUCUUUGUUUUAAAUUCAGUCUCUUUCCCCUGGAAGUGAGAGAGAAAACCCCUCAUGCAACUGUGUCCAGGGGCAGCCAAGCACCCCUCUGCACACCUGAGGCUGCGGCUGCCCUGGCCACAAGGCCAGAAAGGGACCUCGCCCUCUCCCAUGCCCCCUGCAAGAAAAAUCAAAAUCAAAAAAAUGAAAAUCUACCUCAGGUGACAGGGUUCGACCUUUAGGGUUUCUUCAGCCUGUGCGUCGUACCUGUUGAGUGUAAGUCUGUUGCCGCUUGCUUUUUUAAGCAAGCUAGAGAGGCAUGACAGAGCAGAAGUGCAUGGUGGACAUUCCUGUGCUGACCUCUUUCUAGCAUGUCGCAGUUUUAUUUUUAACAAAUUGAUACGUGAGAUGAAUGUAAAAGUUACUGUGUGCGUUUCAAACAUGACAAUGAAAAUUUAAAAUGUAGCUUCCAUACUUGUGCAUAAUUCCAAAGUAUUUUAUUUUUAUCAGUGUUAAAUAGCUUUUUGUACAGGCUUUAAUCCAUUUUUCUGAAAUGUGCUGUUUUUUAAUGAAAGUAACUAUAAUCUUUUCACAUCCCAUGGAACUGCUGUUUACACAUUGCAACUUUUUAAACUAACCAUAUUUUUCAGAAUUAACUUUUUGGAGGGAGGAAAUUCCCCACUUGCUAAAUGAUAUGAAACUUAUUUGGGCUCUUAUAAUUAGAUCCUCAGAUUUUAUAAAAUCAUAGUCUGUAGCUUUCUAGAUUUUUCACUAAGGUUGUUGUACAUAAAGAAUGUAAAGUGAGACCCAAACUCUUUUAAGUGUCCGGUUCCCACUAGUGAUUAGUGUGGGGGCUUAUUGGUCACGCACUCUGUAGCCAUUAAAUUGGACAAGUCCUGAGCGUCUCUCAGUUAAUACAAAUGGUUUGUUUUGUUUUGUUUACUGUGCUUGGGGAGGGGAGAUAUGUUAAUGUAAUUUUGCCUAAGUCAAACAGCCCACUCUAAAUGUUAAUUUUUAAAUGUCAAAUUUUGGUGAACCACCUGUUACACUAUGCUUAAAUUUUAAGUGGUGGGUAAAACUAGAGAAUUCUGGGGUAUGUUACCAUUAAAGCUUCAUUAAGAGAAAUUGAUAGGGACUUCAUUUUUGAUCAGUUGAAUAGAUACCAAUGUCAAUGUGUGGGAAAUUUUUCUUAAAACUUGCUUAUGUUGUUUUGAUCCCUUUUCUGUGGCAUUUGGUGCAAUAAACCUUUGGAACUUUU
Molecule: RNA transcript, 8357 nt
Organism: Cavia porcellus (domestic guinea pig)
Lineage: Eukaryota; Metazoa; Chordata; Mammalia; Rodentia; Caviidae
Gene: Fnip2
Gene name: folliculin interacting protein 2
Exons: 19
Source: RefSeq, a predicted model, not a curated record